GGGGAUAUAGCUCAGUUGGUAGAGCGUCGCCUUCGCAAGGCGAAAGUCAACGGUUCGAAUCCGUUUAUCUCCACCA
This 76-nucleotide transfer RNA is filed under the name Myxococcota bacterium. RNAcentral's name for it is "tRNA-Ala". It matches the Rfam family "tRNA". Rfam says of the family: Transfer RNA (tRNA) molecules are approximately 80 nucleotides in length. Their secondary structure includes four short double-helical elements and three loops (D, anti-codon, and T loops). Lineage: Bacteria; Pseudomonadati; Myxococcota. The record is from RNAcentral.